UUGAUCCUGGCUCAGAAUCAACGCUGGCGGCGUGCCUAACACAUGCAAGUCGAACGCGAAAGGGACUUCGGUCCUGAGUAGAGUGGCGAACGGGUGAGUUACACGUGGGUGACCUACCUUCGAAUGGGGGAUAACGUCCCGAAAGGGACUCUAAUACCGCAUAACAUCCUGUCCUUGAACGGACGGUGAUCAAAGCCGGUGAUCGCAAGACCUGGCGUUUGAAGAGGGGCCCGCGUCCGAUUAGCUAGUUGGUGAGGUAACGGCUCACCAAGGCGACGAUCGGUAACCGGCCUGAGAGGUCGGACGGUCACACUGGGACUGAGACACGGCCCAGACUCCUACGGGAGGCUGCAGUGGGGAAUUGUUCACAAUGGGCGCAAGCCUGAUGACGCAACGCCGUGUGGAGGAUGAAGGUCUUCGGAUUGUAAACUCCUGUUGCCCGGGACGAAUAGCUUCGACCUAACACGUCGAAGUCUGACGGUACCGGGUGAGGAAGCCCUGGCUAACUCUGUGCCAGCAGCCGCGGUAAUAAGGU
RNAcentral lists this ribosomal RNA (535 nucleotides) under uncultured Acidobacteriota bacterium. RNAcentral describes it as "bacterial SSU rRNA". It matches the Rfam family "Bacterial small subunit ribosomal RNA", at positions 13 to 529 of the family's 1533-position model. The record is from RNAcentral. Lineage: Bacteria; Pseudomonadati; Acidobacteriota.